UGCUACCGGACCUAGCGGCGGACGGGUGAGUAAUGCUUAGGAAUCUGCCUAUUAGUGGGGGACAACAUCUCGAAAGGGAUGCUAAUACCGCAUACGUCCUACGGGAGAAAGCAGGGGAUCUUCGGACCUUGCGCUAAUAGAUGAGCCUAAGUCGGAUUAGCUAGUUGGUGGGGUAAAGGCCUACCAAGGCGACGAUCUGUAGCGGGUCUGAGAGGAUGAUCCGCCACACUGGGACUGAGACACGGCCCAGACUCCUACGGGAGGCAGCAGUG
RNAcentral lists this ribosomal RNA (272 nucleotides) under Acinetobacter baumannii OIFC083. Its description in RNAcentral is "partial 16S ribosomal RNA". It matches the Rfam family "Bacterial small subunit ribosomal RNA", at positions 81 to 356 of the family's 1533-position model. Lineage: Bacteria; Pseudomonadati; Pseudomonadota; Gammaproteobacteria; Moraxellales; Moraxellaceae. The record is from RNAcentral.